This 583-nucleotide long non-coding RNA is filed under the name Homo sapiens (human). RNAcentral's name for it is "HSALNT0273372". The record is from RNAcentral. Lineage: Eukaryota; Metazoa; Chordata; Mammalia; Primates; Hominidae.
AAUCUCAGCACUUUGGGAAGCCGAGGUCUACAACAUCCAGAGCAGCCACAUUGCAAGUGCUCAGUAGCCACAUGUGGCUGGCACAUGUGGCCCAUGGCAACUGUGCUGGACAUGGUGGGUCCAGACCUCACUUCAUUUUAUGUAUAAACACCAAGUAUCUUGUGAGCUUUACUGUACGUGAAUUUCUCAGGAAUGCUGUAACUGUGCACAUUGAGGUUUGAGGUUUGAUUGCCCUUUUGUUGUUUUUUUCUGAACGUUACUAAGGGUUGUUCAUAAUUUUGGAAGGUAGUAUUAUCCAAUAGCCCCCGCCCCCUCCGCGUCCGCAGUGUGAGUCCCCUGCACAACAUGCACUGAAGCCUCUGCAUUUGUAGCUCUCACAUUCAUGGUGAUUCUACCCGAGGCCAUGCACUGAAUAUGUCAGUAUCACGGCUUGAUAUCUUCCAGUUUAGCUGUGCCUGAGUGUCUAUGUACUGAAAUCUGUAUUAUUUUAUAAUACAUUUCUUUGUUUUUUGAGAUGGGGUGUCACUCUGUCGCCCUGGCUGGAGUGCACUGGCGUGAUCUAGGCUCACUUCAACCUCCGCCC